GCCUGCCCAGUGAACAUUCAACGGCCGCGGUACCCUAACCACGCAAAGGUAGCAUAAUCACUUGUUCCUUAAAUAGGGACUAGUAUCAACGGCACCACGAGAGUCGCACUGUCUCCUCCCUCCAAUCAGUGAAACUGAUCUUCCCGUGAAGAAGCGGGAAUAAAAUUAUAAGACGAGAAGACCCCAUGGAGCUUUAAACCUUCAACAACUUAAUAUUAUAUUUCCCCAUAACUAUAAGCCUUGCCCACGGUUUUAGGUUGGGGCGACCGCGGAGCAAAAACUARCCUCCCUGACGAAAAGAACUAAAUCUUUAUCCAAGAGCUACCCCUCUAAGAAUUAGCACACUAACGCACACGACCCGAUAAUCGAUCAACGAACCAAGUUACCCUGGGGAUAACAGCGCAAUCUACUUCAAGAGCUCAUAUCGACAAGUAGGCUUACGACCUCGAUGUUGGAUCAGGGUAUCCUAGUGGUGCAGCCGCUACUAAUGGUUCGUUUGUUCAACGAUUAAAA
RNAcentral lists this ribosomal RNA (513 nucleotides) under Philautus polymorphus. RNAcentral's name for it is "partial 16S ribosomal RNA". It matches the Rfam family "Bacterial large subunit ribosomal RNA", at positions 1857 to 2593 of the family's 2925-position model. Lineage: Eukaryota; Metazoa; Chordata; Amphibia; Anura; Rhacophoridae. The record is from RNAcentral.